GAUCGAGAGACCCCGGUGGGACGGGGUCGAGAAUGGAUCUGAUCCACGCCGUCACUGACGCGACGUGCCGGGGCCCGACGGUAUG
Molecule: non-coding RNA, 85 nt
Filed under: uncultured Shimia sp.
Lineage: Bacteria; Pseudomonadati; Pseudomonadota; Alphaproteobacteria; Rhodobacterales; Roseobacteraceae
Description: Rhodo-rpoB RNA
Rfam family: Rhodo-rpoB RNA
Source: RNAcentral